GUCCUGAUAGCUUGUAAGCAUUGGCCUUGUAAGCCAAAGAAUGUAGCCCCCCCCCCCGCUACUCAAGACU
This 70-nucleotide transfer RNA is filed under the name Synapturanus rabus (Vaupes disc frog). Its description in RNAcentral is "tRNA-Thr". Lineage: Eukaryota; Metazoa; Chordata; Amphibia; Anura; Microhylidae. The record is from RNAcentral.